RNAcentral lists this transfer RNA (29 nucleotides) under Melissodes coreopsis. RNAcentral's name for it is "partial tRNA-Leu". Lineage: Eukaryota; Metazoa; Arthropoda; Insecta; Hymenoptera; Apidae. The record is from RNAcentral.
UAUAUUUAUUUAUUUAAUAUGGCAGAUUA